This 253-nucleotide ribosomal RNA is filed under the name uncultured bacterium. RNAcentral describes it as "partial 16S ribosomal RNA". It matches the Rfam family "Bacterial small subunit ribosomal RNA", at positions 524 to 776 of the family's 1533-position model. The record is from RNAcentral.
UACGUAGGGUGCGAGCGUUAAUCGGAAUUACUGGGCGUAAAGCGUGCGCAGGCGGUUCGUUAAGUCAGAUGUGAAAGCCCCGGGCUCAACCUGGGAACGGCAUUUGAAACUGGCGGGCUGGAGUGUGGCAGAGGGGGGUGGAAUUCCCGGUGUAGCGGUGAAAUGCGUAGAGAUCGGGAGGAACAUCAGUGGCGAAGGCGGCCCUCUGGACCAGCACUGACGCUGAGGCACGAAAGCGUGGGGAGCAAACAGG